RNAcentral lists this ribosomal RNA (468 nucleotides) under uncultured bacterium. RNAcentral's name for it is "partial 16S ribosomal RNA". It matches the Rfam family "Bacterial small subunit ribosomal RNA", at positions 28 to 507 of the family's 1533-position model. The record is from RNAcentral.
GACGAACGCUGGCGGCGUGCUUAACACAUGCAAGUCGAACGGAAAGGCCCUGCUUUUGUGGGGUGCUCGAGUGGCGAACGGGUGAGUAACACGUGAGUAACCUGCCCUUGACUUUGGGAUAACUUCAGGAAACUGGGGCUAAUACCGGAUAGGAGCUCCUGCUGCAUGGUGGGGGUUGGAAAGUUUCGGCGGUUGGGGAUGGACUCGCGGCUUAUCAGCUUGUUGGUGGGGUAGUGGCUUACCAAGGCUUUGACGGGUAGCCGGCCUGAGAGGGUGACCGGCCACAUUGGGACUGAGAGACGGCCCAGACUCCUACGGGAGGCAGCAGUGGGGAAUAUUGCACAAUGGGCGGAAGCCUGAUGCAGCAACGCCGCGUGCGGGAUGACGGCCUUCGGAUUGUAAACCGCUUUCGCCUGUGACGAAGCGUGAGUGACGGUAAUGGGUAAAGAAGCACCGGCUAACUACGUG